GUAGGGAAUAUUGGGCAAUGGUCGGAAGACUGACCCAGCCAUGCCGCGUGCAGGAAGACGGCCCUCUGGGUUGUAAACUGCUUUUCUGGGAAGAAAAAGGCCAUGCGUGGCAAAUUGCCGGUACCAGAUGAAUAAGCACCGGCUAACUCCGUCCCAGCACCCGCGGUCAUACGGAGGGUGCGAGCGUUGUCCGGAUUUAUUGGGUUUAAAGGGUGCGUAGGCGGCUGAUUAAGUCAGCGGUGAAAGACUGCGGCUUAACCGGAGCAGUGCCGUUGAUACUGGUUGGCUUGAGUGUCGGAGGGGUACAUGGAAUUGAUGGUGUAGCGGUGAAAUGCAUAGAUACCAUCAGGAACACCGAUAGCGAAGGCAUUGUACUGGCCGACAACUGACGCUGAUGCACGAAAGUGUGGGGAUCGAACAGGAUUAGAUACCCGGGUAGUCC
This 442-nucleotide ribosomal RNA is filed under the name uncultured bacterium. RNAcentral's name for it is "bacterial SSU rRNA". It matches the Rfam family "Bacterial small subunit ribosomal RNA", at positions 354 to 796 of the family's 1533-position model. The record is from RNAcentral.